AUUGAACGCUGGCGGAAUGCUUUACACAUGCAAGUCGAACGGCAGCACGGACUUCGGUCUGGUGGCGAGUGGCGAACGGGUGAGUAAUGUAUCGGAACGUACCCAGUCGUGGGGGAUAACGUAGUGAAAAUUACGCUAAUACCGCAUACGAUCUAUGGAUGAAAGCGGGGGAUCGCAAGACCUCGCGCGAUUGGAGCGGCCGAUAUCAGAUUAGGUAGUUGGUGGGGUAAAGGCCCACCAAGCCAACGAUCUGUAGCUGGUCUGAGAGGACGACCAGCCACACUGGAACUGAGACACGGGCCAGACUCCUACGGGAGGCAGCAGUGGGGAAUUUUGGACAAUGGGCGAAAGCCUGAUCCAGCCAUUCCGCGUGCAGGAUGAAGGCCCUCGGGUUGUAAACUGCUUUUGUACAGAACGAAAAGGUUUCUACUAAUACUAGGAGCUCAUGACGGUACUGUAAGAAUAAGCACCGGCUAACUACGUGCCAGCAGCCGCCGUAA
RNAcentral lists this ribosomal RNA (500 nucleotides) under uncultured bacterium. RNAcentral's name for it is "partial 16S ribosomal RNA". It matches the Rfam family "Bacterial small subunit ribosomal RNA", at positions 30 to 523 of the family's 1533-position model. The record is from RNAcentral.